This is a long non-coding RNA of Agrilus planipennis (emerald ash borer), 1198 nucleotides long. RefSeq lists it as uncharacterized. NCBI's taxonomy places the organism in Eukaryota, Metazoa, Arthropoda, Insecta, Coleoptera, Buprestidae. The record is from RefSeq and is a predicted model, not a curated record. The transcript is spliced from 7 exons.
CGAAAAACGUUUAUUUAUUUAAUAGUGUAAUUAAUUUGUUAAUGUUCUCCAUUAGUACAAAUUGACCCACUAAAAAGCAAAUUGUUUACUGUAGUGUUUCUUGUUGAUUUUUCACUUUGGACGAUUUUGAAGUUAGUUAAGAAAGAUUAUAAAACCUGUGGAUGUCAUCCCUUGCAUAGCAUUGGUUGUAUCAGUCCUUUUUCACUCCAGAAAUUAACACAACCUGAAGUCAUAAGAAAGCGUGAGAGUGCCUUUUUUCCAUGGGGAACGGAGAUAGUGUGUCGUUGCUAAAAAAAGAAUUUCUGACAAGGAACUGAUUGAUGAUAAAUAAGAAUGAAAAAGCAAGUUGUCUGCCAUGGUUCGUUUCAUUUUGGAGGAUCUAAUUAAUUACGGAACAUUAAAAAAAACCUGGAUAGCACAUUAAUUUACAGUGCCUUGGUUGUGUCAGUGUUCAUUCGGUUCAGUGAGUAGCUGUCCUAAAAAGAAGCACAAAAGUGCCUUUUUUCGAUUGGGAACGAAUACAGUGUGGCAUUGCUGAAGGAAGGAUUUAUGACGAAUGAACUGUUUGUCCGAGUGAGAAGAAAUUACAGCUAAUUCUGAUGGUACUCAAAGAGCCGAUGCUUUUGACGUCUUACUAUUGCAACAUAAUUUUGAACCUGAAAGGGCGAGGCAUUUGAAACUUAAUUUGGAAAUGACUAAAACAACAACUUGUCUGCAAUGGUAUUCCUUCUGGAUUUGGCUUGUUCAUUCUACCUGUGAACCUUAUGAAGCUACUUUCUGCAGUUAAUUAAGAUUGCCCAACAAAUGAGUUCAAUUUGGCGCUACUCGAACAACCGUCUACAUGGGUGUGGUCUUUUCUGGACUUUGUUCCUGAUUUGAUAUUUUCAUCUUCACUUCUCCACACUAUGCAGUUGAUUUUCAACCGAUUAGUGGGAGCAACUAAGGAUCUAUUUGAUUUCAAAUGGAACAACAAAAUUUCUGCUGUGGUGCUUCUCCUGGAUUUAGUUUGCUCUUCACACCUGCAAACAGUUGCAGUCUGCAGUUAAUUAAGAUCGACGUUGGAGAAGACAAAGAUGACCCCAUAGUUGAAAUAGUUCUUUUAUCUUGCAUGCUGUAUCUGGUUAAUUAAGUUCAUUUUAUUCAAAUUAAUUUUUUAUUUUGCAUGUUUUGUUGUAGUUAAUUUGAAUUAAUUUUUAUU